This 426-nucleotide ribosomal RNA is filed under the name uncultured bacterium. RNAcentral describes it as "partial 16S ribosomal RNA". It matches the Rfam family "Bacterial small subunit ribosomal RNA", at positions 354 to 796 of the family's 1533-position model. The record is from RNAcentral.
GUGAGGAAUUUUCCGCAAUGGGCGAAAGCCUGACGGAGCAAUGCCGCGUGAAGGAUGAAGGCCUAUGGGUUGUAACCUUCUUUUCUCAGAAAAGAAUUAUGACGGUAUCUGAGGAAUAAGCAUCGGCUAACUCUGUGCCAGCAGCCGCGGUAAGACAGAGGAUGCAAGCGUUAUCCGGAAUGAUUGGGCGUAAAGCGUCUGUAGGUUGUUUAAAAAGUAUUCUGUCAAAGAUUAGGGCUUAACCCUAGAUAGGCAGAAUAAACUUUUAAGCUAGAGUUUGGUAGAGGCAGAGGGAAUUCCCGGUGGAGCGGUGAAAUGCGUAGAUAUCGGGAGGAACACCAAAGGCGAAGGCACUCUGCUGGGCCAAUACUAACACUGAGAGACGAAAGCGAGGGGAGCAAAUGGGAUUAGAAACCCGGGUAGUCC